CCAUCUAUACCCUAUUAGUUCACAUCUUGUCUACAUGGGCGUUAAAUUCAUCACAUUCAAUCAACAAUUAAAGACAAUUCAGACUUUAUACUUUUUACAAUUUAAUCCUUAUUAACAUGAAAGUUUACUAUACUCUAUAACUCCACUAUAAUAUCACUUUUCAUUUAUUCACUAUUACAUCACACUUCAUUCGAACCCUAUUUAUCAAUAUUUUAGCUCACAUGUCUACUUUGUACACAUUACAAUCUAGUCCUUUCUUACUACUAUUGCAAUACACUUAAUCUAUUCACUUUGUAAUUAAAAUUCAAUUCAUAUUUUCACUACUCAUUAAUCAAUUUUCAUAUAUAAUAUUGACAUAUUGACAUAUAAAUUAAACAUAUAACUGUUUUGAUAUUACUUACAAUGGGGUUAAAUUAGGGAAAGUAAAAUUCUCGAAGUGCUUACAAUCAAGUGUUUGGAUGAGCCUCUUUCUUCUUCCUUCACUCUUUUGCUACUUCUUUCCUCUUAUCAAGACCUUGUUGAUCACCUCUCUUCUCUUUCUCUUCAUUAGCAUGUCACACGUAUACAAGAUUUAAUGUCAAAACAUAAUCAGAUAUCACUUCCAUGCACUUUUAAUGAAAUAAAUAUGAACUUCUUGAAGAAAUUUUAUCAUCCUUACCUUGAACUUUUACCCAAAACCCUAACUUCACUUUUCUAUCUUCCAGUAUGAGCACUAGUUAACUUUACAAGAAACUAAGCUUUCUAUGAGAUUACUCUAUUGAUUUUAGUAAAAAUCCAUGGAAGAAUUUGAAGUUUUUAAGCUCAAGGUGGUUGGAAAUGGUAGAGAGGACUUAUUUGAAAAAAAAAACAAAAGUUUUCUUCACACAUGCAUGAAGAUGACAUGAAGAUGGAGAAAAAAAUGGUGAUAUUCUACAUCGUCUACCAAAAUAUCUGAUUAACUUAAUAAGCAAAAUAUUAAAAUGUUAUAUAAAAAAAAAGAAAUUCUACCCAUCAUCUUUU
Molecule: long non-coding RNA, 999 nt
Filed under: Gossypium barbadense (sea-island cotton)
Lineage: Eukaryota; Viridiplantae; Streptophyta; Magnoliopsida; Malvales; Malvaceae
Description: long non-coding RNA (GBAR_LNC005823)
Source: RNAcentral